CGGAGGAUCCGAGCGUUAUCCGGAUUUAUUGGGUUUAAAGGGUGCGUAGGCGGCUUAUUAAGUCAGGGGUGAAAUACGGCAGCUCAACUGUCGCAGUGCCUUUGAUACUGAUAAGCUUGAAUGUGGUUGAAGAUGGCGGAAUGAGACAAGUAGCGGUGAAAUGCAUAGAUAUGUCUCAGAACUCCGAUUGCGAAGGCAGCUAUCUAAGCCAUUAUUGACGCUGAUGCACGAAAGCGUGGGAUCAAACAGGAUU
This 253-nucleotide ribosomal RNA is filed under the name uncultured bacterium. RNAcentral's name for it is "partial 16S ribosomal RNA". It matches the Rfam family "Bacterial small subunit ribosomal RNA", at positions 526 to 779 of the family's 1533-position model. The record is from RNAcentral.